CUGUGGAUGGUGUUCAGCACCAAGGAUAGGCAUGUUUACGUGUGUGUGGAUAGUGUUCAGCACCAAGGAUAGGCAUGUUUUCAU
This 84-nucleotide microRNA precursor is filed under the name Branchiostoma floridae (Florida lancelet). RNAcentral's name for it is "mir-2060 microRNA precursor family". It matches the Rfam family "mir-2060 microRNA precursor family", at positions 11 to 94 of the family's 94-position model. The record is from Rfam by way of RNAcentral. Lineage: Eukaryota; Metazoa; Chordata; Leptocardii; Amphioxiformes; Branchiostomatidae.